AGUGAACGCUGGCGGUAGGCCUAACACAUGCAAGUCGAACGGCAGCACAGUAAGAGCUUGCUCUUACGGGUGGCGAGUGGCGGACGGGUGAGGUAUACAUCGGAAUCUACUUUUUCGUGGGGGAUAACGUAGGGAAACUUACGCUAAUACCGCAUACGACCUACGGGUGAAAGCAGGGGAUCUUCGGACCUUGCGCGAUUGAAUGAGCCGAUGUCGGAUUAGCUAGUUGGCGGGGUAAAGGCCCACCAAGGCGACGAUCCGUAGCUGGUCUGAGAGGAUGAUCCGCCACACUGGAACUGAGACACGGUCCAGACUCCUACGGGAGGCAGCAGUGGGGAAUAUUGGACAAUGGGCGCAAGCCUGAUCCAGCCAUACCGCGUGGGUGAAGAAGGCCUUCGGGUUGUAAAGCCCUUUUGUUGGGAAAGAAAAGCAGCAGGUUAAUACCCCGCUGUUCUGACGGUACCCAAAGAAUAAGCACCGGCUAACUUCGUG
This 492-nucleotide ribosomal RNA is filed under the name uncultured bacterium. RNAcentral describes it as "partial 16S ribosomal RNA". It matches the Rfam family "Bacterial small subunit ribosomal RNA", at positions 29 to 507 of the family's 1533-position model. The record is from RNAcentral.